Molecule: ribosomal RNA, 381 nt
Filed under: uncultured eukaryote
Lineage: Eukaryota
Description: partial 18S ribosomal RNA
Rfam family: Eukaryotic small subunit ribosomal RNA
Source: RNAcentral
CAAUAGCGUAUAUUAAAGCUGUUGCGGUUAAAAAGCUCGUAGUUGGAUUUCUGUCAAGGACAACUGGUCCGCCCCUCGGGUGAGCACAUAGUUUGGUCUUGGCAUCUUGUUGGAAACUGUUGCUGCACUUGGUUGUGUGGCGCCGUGUCCAGCACUUUCACUUUGAGGAAAUUGGAGUGUUUCAAGCAGGCACAUGCCUUUGGACACAGUAGCAUGGAAUAAUUAGAUUGGGCUUUUGCUCCAACUUGUCGGUUUCUGGAGCUGAGGUGAGAAUUAAUGGGGAUUGUUGGGGGCAUCCGAAUUUAGCCGUCAGAGGUGAAAUUCUUGGAUCUGCUAAAGACGGACAACUGCGAAAGCGUUUGCCCAGGAUGUUUUCAUUGA